UUAAGGGAGACCUACCCCUCAAAUAUUGAAAGCAUUUCUGCAAUUAGAUAUUGAGUUGGUUAACCUAAGGUCGUUCGCAAUUUUUUGUUCUAGCUUUCAAACUAUAUUUGGUUCGGUUCUAUUAUCUAUAUAUAUAUAUAUAUGUAUGUAUGUAGAGGUAAUAGAAUAAUGAAAUUAACUACGGGCUAUUAGCUCAGGUGGUUAGAGCGCACCCCUGAUAAGGGUGAGGUCCCUGGUUCGAGUCCAGGAUGGCCCACCUAAAUCUAAAGUUAGGAGUUAGGAGUAAAGAGUUAAGAGUUAAAACUUGAUGAAUUCGUAUCCUAACCCCUAAAACGUUUAUUUGAUUAAUUACAUACCACAAGAUUGGAAAAAUUCAGCACCUGAAGUUUUUUUAGUUAAAAGACUUGGAAUGCUGGGGUUAAUUCCAGCUUUGAACCUUGAAAACUGCAUAGAAACGCGAAUUAAGCAGGCAGACACACAGACAUUAAUUUCUUUAAUGAAUGUGGUUUGCAGACAAUCGUUUUUUUUGUUUUGGAAAAAGAUUGGUCAAGUUAUGAAG
RNAcentral lists this transfer RNA (559 nucleotides) under Cyanomargarita calcarea GSE-NOS12-04C. RNAcentral describes it as "16S-23S ribosomal RNA intergenic spacer". The stretch from base 183 to 256 matches the Rfam family "tRNA". Lineage: Bacteria; Bacillati; Cyanobacteriota; Cyanophyceae; Nostocales; Cyanomargaritaceae. The record is from RNAcentral.